AAUGAGUUGUCGUACGAUUGGACAUGCAGUAGAAAUUAAUGCUCGAUCGUGUGAAUUAAUGCUGUUACCGUAUGAAAUCAGGCCGAAGCUUCCAAAUUAUCAUGGAGUCAUGCCAUCAUUCAUAGCCGAGCAGGUUUGCCGUAAGGGGCUUGAUGUCCGUAGACGGUAGAAGCCAUACGCCUUAAUUGUUGCGUAAACUGAGUGCCUGCAGGAGCCAUACGCUUUGAUUGUUGAGUAAACUGAACGUCUGCAGGAGCCAUACGCUUUGAUUGUCGAGUAAACUGGAUGUCUGCAGGAGCCAUACGCUUUGAUUGUUGACGAAGGCAAGGCGUGGUUUUUCGGUCGCGCUGCGGGGGAUGUGACCACAGCGCGUGAGUCGGACGUCUUUGGGUCGGUAGGGCUGCUCGGGCGCUUCCAGAUCAGAGGGUCUGCUUGGCGGCUCUAGGUCGGAGGGUCUGCUCGGCGCCUUCAGGUCGGAGGAUCUGCUUGGGCGCCUCUAACUCGGAGGGUCUGGUCAGACGUUCACGCAUUGGUGACGGCUUAUAUUUUUUCCCCCAAC
RNAcentral lists this long non-coding RNA (559 nucleotides) under Phoenix dactylifera (date palm). Its description in RNAcentral is "long non-coding RNA (PDAC_LNC020891)". The record is from RNAcentral. Lineage: Eukaryota; Viridiplantae; Streptophyta; Magnoliopsida; Arecales; Arecaceae.